RNAcentral lists this ribosomal RNA (465 nucleotides) under Vreelandella stevensii. RNAcentral's name for it is "partial 16S ribosomal RNA". It matches the Rfam family "Bacterial small subunit ribosomal RNA", at positions 338 to 795 of the family's 1533-position model. The record is from RNAcentral. Lineage: Bacteria; Pseudomonadati; Pseudomonadota; Gammaproteobacteria; Oceanospirillales; Halomonadaceae.
CCUACGGUGGGCUGCAGUGGGGAAUAUUGGACAAUGGGCGAAAGCCUGAUCCAGCCAUGCCGCGUGUGUGAAGAAGGCCUUCGGGUUCUAAAGCACUUUCAGUGGGGAAGAAAGCCUUGGGGCUAAUACCCUCGAGGAAGGACAUCACCCACAGAAGAAGCACCGGCUAACUCCGUGCCAGCAGCCGCGGUAAUACGGAGGGUGCGAGCGUUAAUCGGAAUUACUGGGCGUAAAGCGCGCGUAGGCGGUCUGAUAAGCCGGUUGUGAAAGCCCCGGGCUCAACCUGGGAACGGCAUCCGGAACUGUCAGGCUAGAGUGCAGGAGAGGAAGGUAGAAUUCCCGGUGUAGCGGUGAAAUGCGUAGAGAUCGGGAGGAAUACCAGUGGCGAAGGCGGCCUUCUGGACUGACACUGACGCUGAGGUGCGAAAGCGUGGGUAGCAAACAGGAUUAGAUACCCGUGUAGUC